Molecule: unclassified non-coding RNA, 403 nt
Filed under: soil metagenome
Description: partial contains 5.8S ribosomal RNA, internal transcribed spacer 2, and large subunit ribosomal RNA
Rfam family: 5.8S ribosomal RNA (bases 1-120)
Source: RNAcentral
GAUGAAGAACGCAGUGAAAUGCGAUAAGUAAUGUGAAUUGCAGAAUUCAGUGAAUCAUCGAAUCUUUGAACGCACCUUGCGCCCUUUGGACUUCUGAAGGGCAUGCCUGUUUGAGUAUCAUGAACACCUCAACUCCUUAUGGUCUUCCAUGAUGAGCUUGGACUUUGGGGGUUUUGCUGGCCUACAGUCAGCUCCUCUAAAAUAAAUCAGCUUACCGGUGUUUGGUUGGUAUCAUGGGUGUGAUAACUAUCUACGCUCGUGGUUUUCCACCAGGUAACCUUCAGCAGUGGAGGUUCACUGGAGCUCAUAGAUGUCUCUCCUAAGCGAGGACAGCACUUUGAAUGUUUGAUCUCAAAUCAGGUAGGACUACCCGCUGAACUUAAGCAUAUCAAUAAGCGGAGGA